GAUGAACGCUAGCGGGAGGCUUAACACAUGCAAGUCGAGGGGCAGCACGAGUAGCAAUACUUGGUGGCGACCGGCGGACGGGUGAGUAACGCGUAUGCAACCUACCAUUUACCGGGAAAUAGCUCGAAGAAAUUUGAAUUAAUGUCCCAUAGUAUCUAAGAGUAGCAUUAUUUUUAGAUUAAAGAUUUAUUGGUAAAUGAUGGGCAUGCGUCCCAUUAGUUAGUUGGCGAGGUAACGGCUCACCAAGACUACGAUGGGUAUGGGGUCUAAAAGGAUGGUCCCACACACUGGCACUGAGAUACGGGCCAGACUCCUACGGGAGGCAGCAGUGAGGAAUAUUGGUCAAUGGGCGAGAGCCUGAACCAGCCAUCCCGCGUGCAGGAAGAAUGUCCUAUGGAUUGUAAACUGCUUUUCCACUAGAAGAAUAAAGAGCUACGUGUAGUCUUUACGACGGUAUAGUGGGAAUAAGCAUCGGACUAACUACGUGCCAGCAGCCGACGGUAAA
This 505-nucleotide ribosomal RNA is filed under the name uncultured bacterium. RNAcentral describes it as "bacterial SSU rRNA". It matches the Rfam family "Bacterial small subunit ribosomal RNA", at positions 28 to 524 of the family's 1533-position model. The record is from RNAcentral.